GUUUUAGAAAUUUCUCUCAAUACUCAUAAAUAAAGAAUAUAUUUAUUUUAUUCACUUUAAUAAUUAUCUAAUUUACCUACUAAUACAUCUCAGCCAUGAAGGUUUCUGUAUUUUAACGACAGAUGGUGUCAAAUUUGUUUCUUAAGGGUGAAUUAAAAAGAUGUUAGGGGUAGAUAGGGGAAUUUUUCUGUUGGGUCAAGGUCGGUGAAUUUUGCAUUGAAAGCACUAGAAAUGUAAUCAGGAAUUAUGUCGAGCCAGCAGCUUCUUUUCGAUCUGGAGUCUGAAUUUGAGGAUGACAAAAGAUUUAUUAUGUUGCAACUACCAUCAAAAAAAAAAAAAAAAGAAAAAGAAGUAAAACAAAUGAAUAUUUGCGAAAAAGAGGUCCAGGAAUUAAACUAUCUCAAAGAUUAGUUCGAGUCGAUCGACCAAUUAACCGCUACGCGGGAAUACGAUAUUGCAUACUCUAGAAGUAGUAAGUUAGCCGAUAGACACGUUGAUGAUAAAUUUUUAGAAAACAAGACCUGGGAACGAGACCAAGGACGCAAAGUUAGGCGUGAAAGUAAAUUCUUGGCCUACAAAUCAAAUAUAAAAGGCAAACGUAAAAUUGCGGUUAGGUUAGGUUUACAUUACACAGAUUUACAAAUAGUGCGGGGCACUCACUGGAAUGCUUGUGUGGAAACUGGAAGACAAAUUAUUUACUUCGACAGUUAUAUUCAUAUACCCCUGCCAAUUGAAUAAUUUAUCAAUUAUUUCAAUUUACCUUCAUCACACAUAUAUGUCCUUCAGUUUCACUCUUUGCGGUAAUUCAACAGAAUAAAGCUACAACCUUAACCCCCCUAUAUAUUUGGAUGAUGCUACAGACUAUGAAAAAGGUAUCACCAAUGUCAGCAUAUUCAAUUUUAUACCAGAUAUCAAUGGAACGAACAAUGUAUUAGCGUGGAGGGAGCAAGGAUAACAAUUUUUCACAAUAUACUGUGAUGAACUCGUCCCCGACAUUAAGCUGACCCUGUUCGGUUAUAAUGGCAUUCAAAGUUUUGGCGAAGUCGCGGCCCGUUUGAUGUCGAAAGAAAAGUCGAAACGUCAAAAUUAAUCUUUCUUAAAAAUUAUCAAAAAAAACUUAUUUUUUUAACAGAAGAGACUUUUUUAUUUCUUAGUGCUUGUAUGAACGUGUCAAAAUAAAAUUUAGACUACACCUGCAUGUCUAAAAAUUUACAGAAAACAUUUAAUAUCUGGAUAACGGUAAGCUUUAGGUAUAGGAAAUUAUACAUGAAUUUGCCUUAUUUUUCACCCCUGAAUGCAUUAAAAUAGAAAAAACCGGAGUUUAACCUUGAACUUGUUAUUGUUACAUAUUUAAGGAAUAAUAAAAUUUUUUUAUAAAAAAA
Diorhabda sublineata is the source of this 1382-nucleotide long non-coding RNA. RefSeq lists it as uncharacterized. The transcript is spliced from 3 exons. The record is from RefSeq and is a predicted model, not a curated record. Lineage: Eukaryota; Metazoa; Arthropoda; Insecta; Coleoptera; Chrysomelidae.